Molecule: ribosomal RNA, 392 nt
Filed under: uncultured bacterium
Lineage: Bacteria
Description: bacterial SSU rRNA
Rfam family: Bacterial small subunit ribosomal RNA
Source: RNAcentral
GACGAACGCUGGCGGCGUGCCUAACACAUGCAAGUGGAGCGACGAACCAGGCUUCGGCCUGGGGCAGAGCCGCGAACGGGUGAGUAACACGUGGGUAACCUGCCCUGAUGAUUGGGACAACCCGAGGAAACUCGGGCUAAUACCAAAUGUGCCCUCCGACCAUAAGGUCGCUGGGGAGAGGAAGCUUCGGCCUCCGCAUCGGGAUGGGCCCGCGGCCCAUUAGCUUGUUGGUGAGGAAUGGCUCACCAAGGCAACGAUGGGUAGCUGGUCUGAGAGGACGAUCAGCCACACUGGGACUGAGACACGGCCCAGACUCCUACGGGAGGCAGCAGUGGGGAAUCUUGCGCAAUGCGCGAAAGCGUGACGCAGCAACGCCGCGUGGGGGAAGAAGG